CCAAAGGAUUUAUUGAAGGUUAUAAGAAAUCCACUAAAUAUUAUCUAUGAUUUGAUA
Picea glauca (white spruce) is the source of this 57-nucleotide non-coding RNA. The record is from Rfam. NCBI's taxonomy places the organism in Eukaryota, Viridiplantae, Streptophyta, Pinopsida, Pinales, Pinaceae.